UACGUAGGGUGCAAGCGUUGUCCGGAAUUAUUGGGCGUAAAGAGCUCGUAGGCGGUUUGUUGCGUCGGCUGUGAAAACCUGAGGCUCAACCUCAGGCCUGCAGUCGAUACGAGCAGACUAGAGUGUUGCAGGGGAGACUGGAAUUCCUGGUGCAGCGGUGAAAUGCGCAGAUAUCAGGAGGAACACCGGUGGCGAAGGCGGGUCUCUGGGCAACAACUGACGCUGAGGAGCGAAAGCGUGGGGAGCGAACAGG
This 253-nucleotide ribosomal RNA is filed under the name uncultured bacterium. Its description in RNAcentral is "partial 16S ribosomal RNA". It matches the Rfam family "Bacterial small subunit ribosomal RNA", at positions 524 to 776 of the family's 1533-position model. The record is from RNAcentral.